Non-coding RNA from Steccherinum ochraceum, 94 nucleotides. The record is from the annotation of a GenBank genome assembly. Lineage: Eukaryota; Fungi; Basidiomycota; Agaricomycetes; Polyporales; Steccherinaceae.
GCCCGUUUAGCUCAGUGGUAGAGCGCGCCACUCGUAUUCGCUUAUCACGCGCUUCCACAUGGUGAGGUCGGUCGUUCAAUCCGGCCAAUGGGCA